UACGUAGGUGGCAAGCGUUGUCCGGAUUUACUGGGCGUAAAGAGCGCGCAGGCGGUUGAAUCAGUCGAACGUGAAAGCCCCCGGCUCAACUGGGGAGGGUCAUUCGAUACUGUUCGACUCGAAGGCAGGAGAGGGAAGCGGAAUUCCCGGUGUAGUGGUGAAAUGCGUAGAUAUCGGGAGGAACACCAGUGGCGAAGGCGGCUUUCUGGCCUGUUCUUGACGCUGAGGCGCGAAAGCCAGGGGAGCAAACGGG
This 253-nucleotide ribosomal RNA is filed under the name uncultured bacterium. RNAcentral's name for it is "partial 16S ribosomal RNA". It matches the Rfam family "Bacterial small subunit ribosomal RNA", at positions 524 to 776 of the family's 1533-position model. The record is from RNAcentral.